CACGUAGGCGGAUGUGUCAGUCAGGGGUGAAAUCCCGGAGCUCAACUUCGGAACUGCCUUUGAUACAGCACAUCUGGAGUCCGGAAGAGGUGGGUGGAAUUCCUAGUGUAGAGGUGAAAUUCGUAGAUAUUAGGAAGAACACCGGUGGCGAAGGCGGCCCACUGGUCCGGUACUGACGCUGAGGUGCGAAAGCGUGGGGAGCAAACA
This 207-nucleotide ribosomal RNA is filed under the name uncultured bacterium. RNAcentral describes it as "partial 16S ribosomal RNA". It matches the Rfam family "Bacterial small subunit ribosomal RNA", at positions 568 to 774 of the family's 1533-position model. The record is from RNAcentral.